RNAcentral lists this ribosomal RNA (499 nucleotides) under uncultured bacterium. Its description in RNAcentral is "partial 16S ribosomal RNA". It matches the Rfam family "Bacterial small subunit ribosomal RNA", at positions 355 to 863 of the family's 1533-position model. The record is from RNAcentral.
UGGGGAAUAUUGCACAAUGGGCGAAAGCCUGAUGCAGCAACGCCGCGUGAGGGACGACGGCCUUCGGGUUGUAAACCUCUUUUAGCAAGGAAGAAGCGAAAGUGACGGUACUUGCAGAAAAAGCGCCGGCUAACUACGUGCCAGCAGCCGCGGUAAUACGUAGGGCGCAAGCGUUAUCCGGAAUUAUUGGGCGUAAAGAGCUCGUAGGCGGUUUGUCGCGUCUGCUGUGAAAAACCCGAGGCUCAACCUCGGGCCUGCAGUGGGUACGGGCAGACUAGAGUGCGGUAGGGGAGAUUGGAACUCCUGGUGUAGCGGUGGAAUGCGCAGAUAUCAGGAAGAACACCGAUGGCGAAGGCAGAUCUCUGGGCCGUAACUGACGCUGAGGAGCGAAAGGGUGGGGAGCAAACAGGCUUAGAUACCCUGGUAGUCCACCCCGUAAACGUUGGGAACUAGUUGUGGGGUCCAUUCCACGGAUUCCGUGACGCAGCUAACGCAUUAA